GACGAACGCUGGCGGCGUGCUUAACACAUGCAAGUCGAGCGGAAAGGCCUUUUGGGGUACUCGAGCGGCGAACGGGUGAGUAACACGUGAGUAAUCUGCCCAUCACUCUGGGAUAGCCAUCGGAAACGGUGAUUAAUACUGGAUAUGAGAUCUGGCCGCAUGGUUGGGUUUGGAAAGUUUUUCGGUGAUGGAUGUGCUCGCGGCCUAUCAGCUUGUUGGUGGGGUAANGGCCUACCAAGGCUUCGACGGGUAGCCGGCCUGAGAGGGUGACCGGCCACACUGGGACUGAGACACGGCCCAGACUCCUACGGGAGGCAGCAGUGGGGAAUAUUGGACAAUGGGCGGAAGCCUGAUCCAGCAACGCCGCGUGA
This 371-nucleotide ribosomal RNA is filed under the name uncultured bacterium. Its description in RNAcentral is "bacterial SSU rRNA". It matches the Rfam family "Bacterial small subunit ribosomal RNA", at positions 28 to 404 of the family's 1533-position model. The record is from RNAcentral.